RNAcentral lists this ribosomal RNA (497 nucleotides) under uncultured bacterium. RNAcentral's name for it is "partial 16S ribosomal RNA". It matches the Rfam family "Bacterial small subunit ribosomal RNA", at positions 28 to 507 of the family's 1533-position model. The record is from RNAcentral.
GAUGAACGCUGGCGGCGUGCCUAAUACAUGCAAGUCGAGCGAACAGACGAGGAGCUUGCUCCUCUGACGUUAGCGGCGGACGGGUGAGUAACACGUGGAUAACCUACCUAUAAGACUGGGAUAACUUCGGGACACCGGAGCUAAUACCGGAUAAUAUAAUGAACCGCAUGGUUCAAUAGUGAAAGACGGUUUUGCUGUCACUUAUAGAUGGAUCCGCGCCGCAUUAGCUAGUUGGUAAGGUAACGGCUUACCAAGGCAACGAUGCGUAGCCGAGCUGAGAGGGUGAUAGGCCACACUGGAACUGAGACACGGUCCAGACUCCUACGGGAGGCAGCAGUAGGGAAUCUUCCGCAAUGGGCGAAAGCCUUACGGAGCAACGCCGCGCGAGUGAUGAAGGUCUUCGGAUCGUAAAACUCUCUUAUUAGGGAAGAACAAAUGUGUAAGUAACUAUGCACGUCUUGACGGUACCUAAUCAGAAAGCCACGGCUAACUACGUG